Molecule: ribosomal RNA, 119 nt
Filed under: Monopterus albus (swamp eel)
Lineage: Eukaryota; Metazoa; Chordata; Actinopteri; Synbranchiformes; Synbranchidae
Source: RNAcentral
ACCUGCAGCCACACCUCUCUAGGCAUGCCUGAUCCUGUUGGUUUGCUGGAGCUAAAUAGGGCUGGAUCUGGUCAGUACUUUGCUAGGAGACUACUUGAGAACAUCAAGUGCCGUAGGCU